UACGUAGGGUGCAAGCGUUAAUCGGAAUUACUGGGCGUAAAGUGUGCGCAGGCGGUGAUGUAAGACAGUUGUGAAAUCCCCGGGCUCAACCUGGGAACUGCAUCUGUGACUGCAUCGCUGGAGUGCGGCAGAGGGGGAUGGAAUUCCGGCGUGUAGCAGUGAAAUGCGUAGAUAUGCGGAGGAACACCGAUGGCGAAGGCAAUCCCCUGGGCCUGCACUGACGCUCAUGCACGAAAGCGUGGGAGC
This 246-nucleotide ribosomal RNA is filed under the name uncultured bacterium. Its description in RNAcentral is "partial 16S ribosomal RNA". It matches the Rfam family "Bacterial small subunit ribosomal RNA", at positions 524 to 769 of the family's 1533-position model. The record is from RNAcentral.